UACGGAGGGGGCUAGCGUUGUUCGGAAUUACUGGGCGUAAAGCGCACGUAGGCGGCUUUGCAAGUUAGAGGUGAAAGCCCGGGGCUCAACUCCGGAAUUGCCUUUAAAACUGCAUCGCUAGAAUUGUGGAGAGGUAAGUGGAAUUCCGAGUGUAGAGGUGAAAUUCGUAGAUAUCGAGAGGAACACCGGUGGCGAAGGCGGCCAACUGGACGAAUACUGACGCUGAGACUCGAAAGCGUGGGGAGCAAACAGG
RNAcentral lists this ribosomal RNA (253 nucleotides) under uncultured bacterium. RNAcentral describes it as "partial 16S ribosomal RNA". It matches the Rfam family "Bacterial small subunit ribosomal RNA", at positions 524 to 776 of the family's 1533-position model. The record is from RNAcentral.